GGCUCGUUGGUCUAGUGGUAAUGAUACUCGCACACAGUGCGAGUGGUCCCGGGUUCAAAUCCCGGACGAGCCA
Molecule: non-coding RNA, 73 nt
Organism: Hyposmocoma kahamanoa
Lineage: Eukaryota; Metazoa; Arthropoda; Insecta; Lepidoptera; Cosmopterigidae
Source: the annotation of a RefSeq genome assembly